UAGAGUUUGAUCCUGGCUCAGAUUGAACGCUGGCGGCAGGCCUAACACAUGCAAGUCGAGCGGUAACACAGAGGAGCUUGCUCCUUGGGUGACGAGCGGCGGACGGGUGAGUAAUGCCUGGGGAUCUGCCCGAUAGAGGGGGAUAACUACGGGAAACUGUAGCUAAUACCGCAUAAUGUCUACGGACCAAAGUGGGGGCUCUUCGGACCUCAUGCUAUCGGAUGAACCCAGGUGGGAUUAGCUAGUUGGUGAGGUAAUGGCUCACCAAGGCGACGAUCUCUAACUGGUUUGAGAGAAUGACCAGUCACACUGGAACUGAGACACGGUCCAGACUCCUACGGGAGGCAGCAGUGGGGAAUAUUGCACAAUGGGCGCAAGCCUGAUGCAGCCAUGCCGCGUGUGUGAAGAAGGCCUUCGGGUUGUAAAGCACUUUCAGCGGGGAGGAAGGGCCACUAGUUAAUACCCUAGUGGCAUUUGACGUUUACUCGCAGAAGAAGCACCGGCUAACUACGUGCCAGCAGCCGCGGUAAUACGGAGGGAGCAAGCGUUAAUAUGGAAUUACUAGGAGUAAAGCGCACGCAGGCGGUUUGUUAAGUCAGAUGUGAAAUCCCCGAGCUCAACUUGUGAACUGCAUAUGAAACUGGCAAGCUAGAGUCUUGUAGAGGGGGGUAGAAUUCCAGGUGUAGCGGUGAAAUGCGUAGAGAUAUGGAGGAAUACCGGUGGCGCAGGCGGCCCCCUGGACAAAGACUGAC
This 752-nucleotide ribosomal RNA is filed under the name uncultured bacterium. RNAcentral's name for it is "bacterial SSU rRNA". It matches the Rfam family "Bacterial small subunit ribosomal RNA", at positions 1 to 744 of the family's 1533-position model. The record is from RNAcentral.